Molecule: transfer RNA, 72 nt
Filed under: Muribaculaceae bacterium
Lineage: Bacteria; Pseudomonadati; Bacteroidota; Bacteroidia; Bacteroidales; Muribaculaceae
Description: tRNA-Met
Rfam family: tRNA
About the family: Transfer RNA (tRNA) molecules are approximately 80 nucleotides in length. Their secondary structure includes four short double-helical elements and three loops (D, anti-codon, and T loops).
Source: RNAcentral
CGCGGGGUGGAGCAGUGGUAGCUCGUUGGGCUCAUAACCCAAAGGUCGUAGGUUCAAGUCCUGCCCCCGCAA